AUCUUUUGGCUAAGAUCAAAGUGUAGUCUCUGUUUCUUAUCAGCUUAAUCUCUGGUACGGUCUCCAUAGGAGACCCAGAAGAUUAAAAUUUGAGUAGUAUAGUUUGGCUACAUCACUGUUGUGUAAAUUGGCUUCACAGGUUUGACAAAAUUAUAUUUAAAUUU
Molecule: small nuclear RNA, 164 nt
Filed under: Rhodnius prolixus
Lineage: Eukaryota; Metazoa; Arthropoda; Insecta; Hemiptera; Reduviidae
Description: U2 spliceosomal RNA
Rfam family: U2 spliceosomal RNA
About the family: U2 is a small nuclear RNA (snRNA) component of the spliceosome (involved in pre-mRNA splicing).
Source: RNAcentral